CCUUCGAUAGCUCAGUUGGUAGAGCGGGGGUCUGAAGAUUUAUAAUUGUGAUCCCUAGGUCGCUGGUUCGAAUCCGGCUCGAAGGA
Molecule: non-coding RNA, 86 nt
Organism: Nematostella vectensis (starlet sea anemone)
Lineage: Eukaryota; Metazoa; Cnidaria; Anthozoa; Actiniaria; Edwardsiidae
Source: Rfam